RNAcentral lists this ribosomal RNA (484 nucleotides) under uncultured bacterium. RNAcentral's name for it is "partial 16S ribosomal RNA". It matches the Rfam family "Bacterial small subunit ribosomal RNA", at positions 28 to 523 of the family's 1533-position model. The record is from RNAcentral.
GACGAACGCUGGCGGCGUGCUUAACACAUGCAAGUCGAACGAUGAAGCUAGAGCUUGCUCUGGUGAAUUAGUGGCGAACGGGUGAGUAACACGUGAGUAACCUGCCCCGAACUCUGGGAUAACUGCUGGAAACGGUAGCUAAUACUGGAUACGACCUACGAAGGCAUCUUCUGUAGGUGGAAAGAAUUGCGGUUCGGGAUGGACUCGCGGCCUAUCAGCUUGUUGGUGAGGUAAAGGCUCACCAAGGCGACGACGGGUAGCCGGCCUGAGAGGGUUACCGGCCACACUGGGACUGAGACACGGCCCAGACUCCUACGGGAGGCAGCAGUGGGGAAUAUUGCACAAUGGGCGCAAGCCUGAUGCAGCAACGCCGCGUGAGGGAUGACGGCCUUCGGGUUGUAAACCUCUUUUAGUAGGGAAGAAGCGAAAGUGACGGUACCUGCAGAAAAAGCACCGGCUAACUACGUGCCAGCAGCCGCCGUAA